CGUGAGAUGUUGGGUUAAGUCCCGCAACGAGCGCAACCCUUGUCCCUAGUUGCCAGCAUUCAGUUGGGCACUCCAGGGAGACCGCCGGUGACAAACCGGAGGAAGGUGGGGAUGACGUCAAGUCAUCAUGGCCUUUAUGGCCAGGGCUACACACGUGCUACAAUGGCAAGGUACAGAGGGAAGCCAACCGGCGACGGGGAGCCAAUCCCAGAAAACUUGUCGUAGUCCGGAUUGGAGUCUGCAACUCGACUCCA
This 254-nucleotide ribosomal RNA is filed under the name uncultured bacterium. RNAcentral describes it as "partial 16S ribosomal RNA". It matches the Rfam family "Bacterial small subunit ribosomal RNA", at positions 1066 to 1320 of the family's 1533-position model. The record is from RNAcentral.